GGUUAAGCGACUAAGCGUACACGGUGGAUGCCCUGGCAGUCAGAGGCGAUGAAGGACGUGCUAAUCUGCGAUAAGCGUCGGUAAGGUGAUAUGAACCGUUAUAACCGGCGAUUUCCGAAUGGGGAAACCCAGUGUGAUUCGUCACACUAUCAUUAACUGAAUCCAUAGGUUAAUGAGGCGAACCGGGGGAACUGAAACAUCUAAGUACCCCGAGGAAAAGAAAUCAACCGAGAUUCCCCCAGUAGCGGCGAGCGAACGGGGAGCAGCCCAGAGCCUGAAUCAGUAUGUGUGUUAGUGGAAGCGUCUGGAAAGGCGUGCGAUACAGGGUGACAGCCCCGUACACAAAAAUGCACAUGCUGUGAGCUCGAUGAGUAGGGCGGGACACGUGGUAUCCUGUCUGAAUAUGGGGGGACCAUCCUCCAAGGCUAAAUACUCCUGACUGACCGAUAGUGAACCAGUACCGUGAGGGAAAGGCGAAAAGAACCCCGGCGAGGGGAGUGAAAAAGAACCUGAAACCGUGUACGUACAAGCAGUGGGAGCCUCUUUAAUGGGGUGACUGCGUACCUUUUGUAUAAUGGGUCAGCGACUUAUAUUCUGUAGCAAGGUUAACCGAAUAGGGGAGCCGAAGGGAAACCGAGUCUUAACUGGGCGUUAAGUUGCAGGGUAUAGACCCGAAACCCGGUGAUCUAGCCAUGGGCAGGUUGAAGGUUGGGUAACACUAACUGGAGGACCGAACCGACUAAUGUUGAAAAAUUAGCGGAUGACUUGUGGCUGGGGGUGAAAGGCCAAUCAAACCGGGAGAUAGCUGGUUCUCCCCGAAAGCUAUUUAGGUAGCGCCUCGUGAAUUCAUCUCCGGGGGUAGAGCACUGUUUCGGCAAGGGGGUCAUCCCGACUUACCAACCCGAUGCAAACUGCGAAUACCGGAGAAUGUUAUCACGGGAGACACACGGCGGGUGCUAACGUCCGUCGUGAAGAGGGAAACAACCCAGACCGCCAGCUAAGGUCCCAAAGUCAUGGUUAAGUGGGAAACGAUGUGGGAAGGCCCAGACAGCCAGGAUGUUGGCUUAGAAGCAGCCAUCAUUUAAAGAAAGCGUAAUAGCUCACUGGUCGAGUCGGCCUGCGCGGAAGAUGUAACGGGGCUAAACCAUGCACCGAAGCUGCGGCAGCGACACUAUGUGUUGUUGGGUAGGGGAGCGUUCUGUAAGCCGUUGAAGGUGUGCUGUGAGGCAUGCUGGAGGUAUCAGAAGUGCGAAUGCUGACAUAAGUAACGAUAAAGCGGGUGAAAAGCCCGCUCGCCGGAAGACCAAGGGUUCCUGUCCAACGUUAAUCGGGGCAGGGUGAGUCGACCCCUAAGGCGAGGCCGAAAGGCGUAGUCGAUGGGAAACAGGUUAAUAUUCCUGUACUUGGUGUUACUGCGAAGGGGGGACGGAGAAGGCUAUGUUGGCCGGGCGACGGUUGUCCCGGUUUAAGCGUGUAGGCUGAUUUUCCAGGCAAAUCCGGAGAAUCAAGGCUGAGGCGUGAUGACGAGGCACCACGGUGCUGAAGCAACAAAUGCCCUGCUUCCAGGAAAAGCCUCUAAGCAUCAGGUAACAUCAAAUCGUACCCCAAACCGACACAGGUGGUCAGGUAGAGAAUACCAAGGCGCUUGAGAGAACUCGGGUGAAGGAACUAGGCAAAAUGGUGCCGUAACUUCGGGAGAAGGCACGCUGAUGGUAGGUGAAGCGACUUGCUCGUGGAGCUGAAAUCAGUCGAAGAUACCAGCUGGCUGCAACUGUUUAUUAAAAACACAGCACUGUGCAAACACGAAAGUGGACGUAUACGGUGUGACGCCUGCCCGGUGCCGGAAGGUUAAUUGAUGGGGUCAGCCGCAAGGCGAAGCUCUUGAUCGAAGCCCCGGUAAACGGCGGCCGUAACUAUAACGGUCCUAAGGUAGCGAAAUUCCUUGUCGGGUAAGUUCCGACCUGCACGAAUGGCGUAAUGAUGGCCAGGCUGUCUCCACCCGAGACUCAGUGAAAUUGAACUCGCUGUGAAGAUGCAGUGUACCCGCGGCAAGACGGAAAGACCCCGUGAACCUUUACUAUAGCUUGACACUGAACAUUGAGCCUUGAUGUGUAGGAUAGGUGGGAGGCUUUGAAGUGUGGACGCCAGUCUGCAUGGAGCCGACCUUGAAAUACCACCCUUUAAUGUUUGAUGUUCUAACGUGGACCCGUGAUCCGGGUUGCGGACAGUGUCUGGUGGGUAGUUUGACUGGGGCGGUCUCCUCCUAAAGAGUAACGGAGGAGCACGAAGGUUGGCUAAUCCUGGUCGGACAUCAGGAGGUUAGUGCAAUGGCAUAAGCCAGCUUGACUGCGAGCGUGACGGCGCGAGCAGGUGCGAAAGCAGGUCAUAGUGAUCCGGUGGUUCUGAAUGGAAGGGCCAUCGCUCAACGGAUAAAAGGUACUCCGGGGAUAACAGGCUGAUACCGCCCAAGAGUUCAUAUCGACGGCGGUGUUUGGCACCUCGAUGUCGGCUCAUCACAUCCUGGGGCUGAAGUAGGUCCCAAGGGUAUGGCUGUUCGCCAUUUAAAGUGGUACGCGAGCUGGGUUUAGAACGUCGUGAGACAGUUCGGUCCCUAUCUGCCGUGGGCGCUGGAGAACUGAGGGGGGCUGCUCCUAGUACGAGAGGACCGGAGUGGACGCAUCACUGGUGUUCGGGUUGUCAUGCCAAUGGCACUGCCCGGUAGCUAAAUGCGGAAGAGAUAAGUGCUGAAAGCAUCUAAGCACGAAACUUGCCCCGAGAUGAGUUCUCCCUGAGACUUUAAGUCUCCUGAAGGAACGUUGAAGACGACGACGUUGAUAGGCCGGGUGUGUAAGCGCAGCGAUGCGUUGAGCUAACCGGUACUAAUGAACCGUGAGGCUUAACCUU
This 2904-nucleotide ribosomal RNA is filed under the name Escherichia marmotae. RNAcentral's name for it is "23S ribosomal RNA". It matches the Rfam family "Bacterial large subunit ribosomal RNA". Lineage: Bacteria; Pseudomonadati; Pseudomonadota; Gammaproteobacteria; Enterobacterales; Enterobacteriaceae. The record is from RNAcentral.